UUUUCUUGUUUAAAAUUUAUUUUAUAUUUAUUUUAUUGUUUUGAUAUAUUGAUAUUAAAAAUUAAAAAGAUAUAUUAUUUUAAGUGCGAGUGUGUGUCGUGAGGUAUUGUGGUAACUUUUGUGGUUGUGUUUAGAAAAAAAUUGUUUUGUAAGAAAAACUUUUAGUUGAGGUUGGUUUGGUAAAAUAUAUGUUUGGUUAAAACUGUGAUUGAAAUUGAAGUUGAACAAAAGGUAAUUGAAAGUGUUUGGUUAAGAAUGUUUUUCAAAUUGAGGUUAUAAAAUAAUUAAAAAAAACAUAUAUUAAUAUUGAUGGUUUUUAAUUGAAAUAUUGUAGAUUCAACUACUGCUAUUACAUCAUGAAAUAAACAAUACUUUAUAUAAGGUAUUUUUUAUUGUUUCAUUAAACUAUCUGCAAUUUCAUCACGUACGAAAUCCAUCCGACAAAGACUAUAGUUUCCAUGGCUUCCUGAGCGUGCAACAACAUCAGGUAAAAUAUCAUUAGGAAUAAAAUUAGGAUUGCAAUCAAAUUCUGCAAAUGCUAUGUUAUUAUGCGAUCUCCUUCUAAUGUAAUUAUGUAGUGCCAUUGAAUAAUGUUAAACACUAGUUUAUCGAAUAAAACACAAUAUCUAAGAUUUUUUUUGGAUUUUUUAAUUUUAUUUUAUUGGGUCGAUCUGGUCCAAUGCAUUUAGGUUUGGGCCGGACUCAGUCCGCCCCAUGAUCAGUGGAGAAUGAAUUAAUUAACUCUCCAUUGUUCACUUUGCAGAACAGUGGAGACAGGAAAAUGCAGCAGAAAAAAAAGAAGAAGAAUGAAAAGAAUAAGGGGAAAAGCAAGCUACCCUGCGCGACGACAAUGUCUAGUUGGCGGUUAAAACGGCAGAGGUCGGUGGUAAACUAAGGGAGCUACUUGGCUGAUGGACGACAGGUUCUGGGAAGUUUGAUAUUCCUCUAACGAGUUUUUUUCUCUUUAGAAAUAUAUGUUUUGUGGCCAAACUGGUUUGUCGGUGGAUAAUUGAAAAGCUAAGGUGAGUUACUAUUUGUAAAGCUCAACUUUUUUGUUUUUGUUAAAUCAGGUGCAACCUCAAUUUAUGGUGGGUUCCACCAAAACAAAACCAAGUUUUCACUUAACCAGAUACAUAUUUAUGUGACUCACUCUCAACUUUACACACAGCCGCAUUACCAAACAGCCACUAAAAUAUACAUGGAUUAUCAACUCAGGAC
This 1218-nucleotide long non-coding RNA is filed under the name Populus trichocarpa (black cottonwood). RNAcentral's name for it is "long non-coding RNA (PTRI_LNC000677)". Lineage: Eukaryota; Viridiplantae; Streptophyta; Magnoliopsida; Malpighiales; Salicaceae. The record is from RNAcentral.